RNAcentral lists this ribosomal RNA (253 nucleotides) under uncultured bacterium. Its description in RNAcentral is "partial 16S ribosomal RNA". It matches the Rfam family "Bacterial small subunit ribosomal RNA", at positions 524 to 776 of the family's 1533-position model. The record is from RNAcentral.
UACAGAGGUCUCAACCGUUGUUCGGAUUCAUUGGGCGUAAAGGGUGCGUAGGCGGUCGGGUAAGUCGGAUGUGAAAUCCCAGGGCUCAACCCUGGAACUGCAUUCGAUACUGCCUGGCUAGGGUACUGGAGAGGAGACUGGAAUUUACGGUGUAGCAGCGAAAUGCGUAGAUAUCGUAAGGAAGACCAGUGGCGAAGGCGAGUCUCUGGACAGUUACCGACGCUGAGGCACGAAGGUCAGGGGAGCAAACGGG